AGAGUUGAUCAGUGGCUCAGGACGAACGCUGGCGGCGUGCCUAACACAUGCAAGUCGAGCGAGGAGAUUCCUUCGGGAUGAUCCUAGCGGCGGACGGGUGAGUAACACGUGGGCAACCUGCCUCAUAGAGAGGAAUAGCCUUCCGAAAGGGAGAUUAAUACCUCAUAACAUUGCAGUUUCGCAUGGAACAGCAAUUAAAGGAGUAAUCCGCUAUGAGAUGGGCCCCGCGGCGCAUUAGCUAGUUGGUGAGGUAACGGCUCACCAAGGCGACGAUGCGUAGCCGACCUGAGAGGGUGAUCGGCCACAUUGGGACUGAGACAUGGCCCAGACUCCUACGGGAGGCAGCAGUGGGGAAUAUUGCACAAUGGGGGAAACCCUGAUGCAGCAACGCCGCGUGAGUGAUGACGGCCUUCGGGUUGUAAAGCUCUGUCUUCAGGGACGAUAAUGACGGUACCUGAGGAGGAAGCCACGGCUAACUACGUGCCAGCCGCCGC
RNAcentral lists this ribosomal RNA (494 nucleotides) under uncultured bacterium. RNAcentral's name for it is "bacterial SSU rRNA". It matches the Rfam family "Bacterial small subunit ribosomal RNA", at positions 8 to 518 of the family's 1533-position model. The record is from RNAcentral.